AGUGACAGGUGGUGCAUGGUUGUCGUCAGCUCGUGUCGUGAGAUGUUGGGUUAAGUCCCGCAACGAGCGCAACCCUUGAUCUUAGUUGCCAUCAUUUAGUUGGGCACUCUAAGGUGACUGCCGGUGACAAACCGGAGGAAGGUGGGGAUGACGUCAAAUCAUCAUGCCCCUUAUGACCUGGGCUACACACGUGCUACAAUGGACGGUACAAAGAGCUGCAAGACCGCGAGGUGGAGCUAAUCUCAUAAAACCGUUCUCAGUUCGGAUUGUAGGCUGCAACUCGCCUACAUGAAGCUGGAAUCGCUAGUAAUCGCGGAUCAGCAUGCCGCGGUGAAUACGUUCCCGGGCCUUGUACACACCGCCCGUCACACCACGAGAGUUUGUAACACCCGAAGUCGGUGGGGUAACCUUUAUGGAGCCAGCCGCAUGAGGUGGGACAGA
This 441-nucleotide ribosomal RNA is filed under the name Bacillus sp. (in: firmicutes). RNAcentral describes it as "bacterial SSU rRNA". It matches the Rfam family "Bacterial small subunit ribosomal RNA", at positions 1030 to 1471 of the family's 1533-position model. The record is from RNAcentral. Lineage: Bacteria; Bacillati; Bacillota; Bacilli; Caryophanales; Bacillaceae.